RNAcentral lists this ribosomal RNA (737 nucleotides) under uncultured endophytic bacterium. RNAcentral's name for it is "bacterial SSU rRNA". It matches the Rfam family "Bacterial small subunit ribosomal RNA", at positions 770 to 1504 of the family's 1533-position model. The record is from RNAcentral.
UAACCGGAUUAGAUACCCUGGUAGUCCACGCCCUAAACGAUGCGAACUGGAUGUUGGUCUCAACUCGGAGAUCAGUGUCGAAGCUAACGCGUUAAGUUCGCCGCCUGGGGAGUACGGUCGCAAGACUGAAACUCAAAGGAAUUGACGGGGGCCCGCACAAGCGGUGGAGUAUGUGGUUUAAUUCGAUGCAACGCGAAGAACCUUACCUGGCCUUGGCAUGUCUGGAAUCCUGCAGAGAUGCGGGAGUGCCUUCGGGAAUCAGAACACAGGUGCUGCAUGGCUGUCGUCAGCUCGUGUCGUGAGAUGUUGGGUUAAGUCCCGCAACGAGCGCAACCCUUGUCCUUAGUUGCCAGCACGUAAUGGUGGGAACUCUAAGGAGACUGCCGGUGACAAACCGGAGGAAGGUGGGGAUGACGUCAAGUCCUCAUGGCCCUUACGGCCAGGGCUACACACGUACUACAAUGGUCGGUACAGAGGGUUGCAAUACCGCGAGGUGGAGCCAAUCCCAGAAAGCCGAUCCCAGUCCGGAUCGGAGUCUGCAACUCGACUCCGUGAAGUCGGAAUCGCUAGUAAUCGCGGAUCAACUAUGCCGCGGUGAAUACGUUCCCGGGCCUUGUACACACCGCCCGUCACACCAUGGGAGUGAGUUGCUCCAGAAGCCGUUAGUCUAACCGCAAGGGGGACGACGACCACGGAGUGGUUCAUGACUGGGGUGAAGUCGUAACAAGGUAACCGUA